RNAcentral lists this long non-coding RNA (392 nucleotides) under Populus tremula. Its description in RNAcentral is "long non-coding RNA (PTRE_LNC002883)". Lineage: Eukaryota; Viridiplantae; Streptophyta; Magnoliopsida; Malpighiales; Salicaceae. The record is from RNAcentral.
AACCUUGCCUAACUUGAUACAAGCUUCAUUCCAUCCCUAACUUGAUGCUUCACCAAUGUUUUUACCUUGCCUUCCACUUAUUUCAAUGGGAGGGGAAAGAUUACUGAUGCAACACCUUCGUAGAGGGGAUUUUUUUUUUCAUAAAAGGUACAAGCAAAAUCUUUUACUAUCUGAGGGUAAAGGGGGUUUUGAAUUCAAUCCCUUCCCUCCUUAAAACUCCAAUUUGGCGUUUUGGAGUUUUUUAAUUGGUGGAGGCAAACGUGCGUUUCUAUGUCCUUCUCCCUUGAACUCUAUAUGAUUAUCUCUUCAUUAAACUGGGUUUUCUUGUAUUUGUUUAGGAUGAGUGCAAGCGUCUGCGUCAGAGUUCAGGAUACAUUUUCUUCUUCUUCUUU